This 433-nucleotide ribosomal RNA is filed under the name uncultured bacterium. RNAcentral describes it as "partial 16S ribosomal RNA". It matches the Rfam family "Bacterial small subunit ribosomal RNA", at positions 29 to 507 of the family's 1533-position model. The record is from RNAcentral.
AGCGAACGCUGGCGGCAGGCCUAACACAUGCAAGUCGAACGAACUCUUCGGAGUUAGUGGCGGACGGGUGAGUAACACGUGGGAACGUGCCUUUUGGUUCGGAAUACCUCAGGGAAACUUGUGCUAAUACCGAAUGUGCCCUUCGGGGGAAAGAUUUAUCGCCAUUAGAGCGGCCCGCGUCUGAUUAGCUAGUUGGUGAGGUAACGGCUCACCAAGGCGACGAUCAGUAGCUGGUCUGAGAGGAUGACCAGCCACACUGGGACUGAGACACGGCCCAGACUCCUACGGGAGGGAGCAGUGGGGAAUCUUGCGCAAUGGGCGAAAGCCUGACGCAGCCAUGCCGCGUGAAUGAUGAAGGUCUUAGGAUUGUAAAAUUCUUUCACCGGGGACGAUAAUGACGGUACCCGGAGAAGAAGCCCCGGCUAACUUCGUG